Molecule: long non-coding RNA, 425 nt
Organism: Solea senegalensis (Senegalese sole)
Lineage: Eukaryota; Metazoa; Chordata; Actinopteri; Pleuronectiformes; Soleidae
Exons: 3
Source: RefSeq, a predicted model, not a curated record
AGGGUGACUAUGUCAUCGGUGGGAUUUUCCCCAUUCAUUUUAAUCUGAAAAUACCAGACCUUAACGGCACCUACAGACCAGAACCUAUAAAUUGCAAUGGCCACAGAAUUGAUCCCAAGGCUUUCCGGUGGGCUCAGACUAUGAGACUGGCAGUGGAGGAGAUAAACCAGAAUCCAGUGCUGUUGCAGAAUCACACUCUAGGCUACAAAAUCUUUGAUUCAUGUGGAUAUCCACUGACAGGACAGAGAGCUGUUUUAUCGAUGCUGAACGGAGUGAGUGAGGAAAACUCUUCUAUGUGCACAAAUGCCUCAUCACUCCUCGCUGUGAUUGGGGCUUUUGGAUCUUCUCAGUCUAUUGUUUUGUCAAGAAUCCUGCAAACAUUCAGGAUCCCCAUGAUCAGCUAUGCUUCUACAUGUGCAUGUUUG